GAUGAACGCUGGCGGCGUGCCUAACACAUGCAAGUCGAGCGGACAGACGAGGCGUUUGUUCCUCUCUCGAUAGCCGAGCAGGUGAGUGUAACAUGUGGAUAACCUCCUUAUCAUACUGGGAUCACUUCGGGAAUCCGGCUCUUAUCCCGGAUGAUCUCUUGCACCGUAUGGUUCAAUAGUGAAAGUCGGUUUUUGUGUCACUUCUCGCUGGUUCCGCGCCGCAUUAGCUAGUUGGUAAGGUAACGGCUUUUCAAGGGAACGAUGCGUAGCCGACGUGAGAGGGUGAUCGGCCACACGAGAGCGGAGACAGGCACCAGAGUCCUGCGGGAGGGAGCAGUAGGGAAGCUUCCGCAAUGGGGGAAAGCCUGACGGAGCGAGGCCGCGUGAGUGAUGGAGGUCUCGGGAUCGUAAAACUCUGUUAUUAGGGAAGAACAAAUGUGUAAUGAACUAUGCACUUCUUGACGGUACCUAGUCAGAAAGCCACGGCUAACUACGUG
Molecule: ribosomal RNA, 497 nt
Filed under: uncultured bacterium
Lineage: Bacteria
Description: partial 16S ribosomal RNA
Rfam family: Bacterial small subunit ribosomal RNA
Source: RNAcentral